AAAAAAGUUUUCUAGGGUUCCGCAGUCUAACUGGUCUGGUCCGAGAGAAAACACACAAGUAAUUGUGUACACGGUAGGAUAAAAGCCUAGGAGUU
Enterococcus asini ATCC 700915 is the source of this 95-nucleotide regulatory RNA element. It matches the Rfam family "Guanidine-I riboswitch aptamer". Rfam says of the family: This family represents a conserved RNA structure found upstream of the ykkC and yxkD genes in Bacillus subtilis and related genes in other bacteria. The function of this family is unclear although it has been suggested that it may function to switch on efflux pumps and detoxification systems in response to harmful environmental molecules. Lineage: Bacteria; Bacillati; Bacillota; Bacilli; Lactobacillales; Enterococcaceae. The record is from Rfam.